GGGUCCCGUUGAAUUCUAAACUAUGCCUGCAUAUGAGCGCUUUGGCGGUUAAAUGCGCUGGGCGGGGUCUUUACUCUAGUACAUAGGCGCGAGGCUGAAAGUCCAUGUGACCGUGGGUUUGGACCAGGAUUAGAUACCCUGUUACUCCUCGGCGUUAAGCACGAUUUAUGUUUUAUUUUCUGCUAGGCGACUACACUGAUAUCGCAGUCAAAGUCGAAGUACUUGGCGGUCCAAGAUACCCAUUCCGCGGGACUUGACGGUUAAUCUGAUAAUCCGCGUUUCACCGCACUUGCCCUUGAAUCAAGGAGGAGAGUAGGCCUCCCAGGAGAGGACAAUAUGAUACCACAGUUGGUGUAUGGCCGUCGCCAGCUUCCUUUUAGAGGAUGUUCUAAACGCAGGUUGCUAAGACCCCUUUUCGUCGAGGGUGCGCAGUUAGGCGCUCCAAAAAGGCGUGGGAGAAGAAGUCAGGUCGUCAUGCCGCCUACGGGCAAGGCUUAGUUGAGUCACAGGUUGUAAACAUAUUCGGAGGGUGGGAGGAAGAGGCCAUCAGAUAAAGAAGUAGGAGUGGACAGUAGCUUUCAAUUAGAACGUGAGAGCGAAGAGUGAACUUUUGGGCGUACAUACUGCCCGUCAAUUCCGAGGCAACUUGGGAU
This 653-nucleotide ribosomal RNA is filed under the name Lamarcka avellana. RNAcentral describes it as "partial small subunit ribosomal RNA". It matches the Rfam family "Bacterial small subunit ribosomal RNA", at positions 621 to 1482 of the family's 1533-position model. The record is from RNAcentral. Lineage: Eukaryota; Metazoa; Mollusca; Bivalvia; Arcoida; Arcidae.